AAGGCACGUUACGCUAGGGACAACGGCCGACUUGUUUAGGGUUAAACCGGUGACUUGGGGNU
Molecule: ribosomal RNA, 62 nt
Filed under: uncultured bacterium
Lineage: Bacteria
Description: partial 16S ribosomal RNA
Source: RNAcentral